GAUCAGCACUGCAGAGCCAGGGAUGAACCACCCCCAUCCAUGCCUGGCCAGCACCAGGUGUGAGCCUCAGCAGGCAGGUGGAAAUGUGGGAUAUGUAUGGACGGCAGAGGCAGUGCAUACAGCAGGCUGUGUGACAGCGGUGGUUCUCCUCCCAGGGGACACGGGCAGCAGAACUGCUGGACUGCAGCUUACAGAUGGAUUCCUUCUUGGGAGCAAAGUACUCAUAAAGUGACUUUUCUUUAAACCUCAGAUGGUUUUAUUUGCUCUGCUGAAAUGAAGCAAGGGAGAAAAGAUGUCUUAGAGCAAGCAUUUAAAUGAAUGUCAGCUGGAAGAAAUACACACAGAGUGCAAUUUGAGAUAAAACUACCAUUGAUCCCUUCAUGUACAGCCUUUGUGGCAGUGGUUGACGUGACUAUUGAAAAGGGACUGUGGUGCCAGAGUUCUUCUAAGAGAUAAUCCGUCUUCUGAGAGAAGAUUUAGGUU
Molecule: long non-coding RNA, 483 nt
Filed under: Gallus gallus (chicken)
Lineage: Eukaryota; Metazoa; Chordata; Aves; Galliformes; Phasianidae
Description: long non-coding RNA NONGGAT002240
Source: RNAcentral